RNAcentral lists this transfer RNA (77 nucleotides) under Candidatus Dormiibacterota bacterium. Its description in RNAcentral is "tRNA-Pro". It matches the Rfam family "tRNA". Rfam says of the family: Transfer RNA (tRNA) molecules are approximately 80 nucleotides in length. Lineage: Bacteria; Bacillati; Candidatus Dormiibacterota. RNAcentral also lists the same sequence under 5 other names. The record is from RNAcentral.
CGGGGCGUGGCGCAGCCCGGUAGCGCACCUGCUUUGGGAGCAGGGGGUCGCUGGUUCGAAUCCAGUCGCCCCGACCA